This 492-nucleotide ribosomal RNA is filed under the name uncultured bacterium. Its description in RNAcentral is "partial 16S ribosomal RNA". It matches the Rfam family "Bacterial small subunit ribosomal RNA", at positions 29 to 507 of the family's 1533-position model. The record is from RNAcentral.
AGUGAACGCUGGCGGUAUGCCUAACACAUGCAAGUCGAACGGCAGCACAGUAAGAGCUUGCUCUUACGGGUGGCGAGUGGCGGACGGGUGAGGAAUACAUCGGAAUCUACUUUUUCGUGGGGGAUAACGUAGGGAAACUUACGCUAAUACCGCAUACGACCUACGGGUGAAAGCAGUGGAUCUUCGGACCUUGCGCGAUUGAAUUAGCCGAUGUCGGAUUAGCUAGUUGGCGGGGUAAAGGCCCACCAAGGCGACGAUCCGUAGCUGGUCUGAGAGGAUGAUCAGCCACACUGGAACUGAGACACGGUCCAGACUCCUACGGGAGGCAGCAGUGGGGAAUAUUGGACAAUGGGCGAAAGCCUGAUCCAGCAAUACCGCGUGGGUGAAGAAGGCCUUCGGGUUGUAAAGCCCUUUUGUUGGGAAAGAAAAGCGGCAGGUUAAUACCCCGCUGUUCUGACGGUACCCAAAGAAUAAGCACCGGCUAACUUCGUG